GUAGAGACAGGUGGUGCAUGGUUGUCGUCAGCUCGUGUCGUGAGAUGUUGGGUUAAGUCCCGCAACGAGCGCAACCCUUACGUUUAGUUGCUACGAAAGAGCACGUCUAGACGGACUGCCGUUGACAAACCGGAGGAAGGUGGGGAUGGACGUCAAGUCCUCAUGGCCCUUACAGGGUGGGCUACACACGUGCUACAAUGGCGACUACAGAGGGUUAAUCCUUAAAAGUCGUCUCAGUUCGGAUUGUCCUCUGCAACUCGAGGGCAUGAAGUUGGAAUCGCUAGUAAUCGCGGAUCAGCAUGCCGCGGUGAAUACGUUCCCGGGCCUU
RNAcentral lists this ribosomal RNA (328 nucleotides) under uncultured Brevundimonas sp. Its description in RNAcentral is "bacterial SSU rRNA". It matches the Rfam family "Bacterial small subunit ribosomal RNA", at positions 1028 to 1382 of the family's 1533-position model. Lineage: Bacteria; Pseudomonadati; Pseudomonadota; Alphaproteobacteria; Caulobacterales; Caulobacteraceae. The record is from RNAcentral.